Molecule: transfer RNA, 71 nt
Filed under: Loxodonta africana (African savanna elephant)
Lineage: Eukaryota; Metazoa; Chordata; Mammalia; Proboscidea; Elephantidae
Rfam family: tRNA
About the family: Transfer RNA (tRNA) molecules are approximately 80 nucleotides in length. Their secondary structure includes four short double-helical elements and three loops (D, anti-codon, and T loops).
Source: Rfam by way of RNAcentral
GCAUUGGUGGUUCAGUGGUAGAAUUCUCGCCUUUCAUGUAGGAGAACCAGGUUCGAUUCCCAGACAAUGCA